GUACUGAUGAAGAGUCCCAAAAUAGGACGACACAGAUUUCCAGUAC
Molecule: non-coding RNA, 46 nt
Filed under: Trichobilharzia regenti
Lineage: Eukaryota; Metazoa; Platyhelminthes; Trematoda; Strigeidida; Schistosomatidae
Source: RNAcentral